RNAcentral lists this long non-coding RNA (332 nucleotides) under Pan troglodytes (chimpanzee). Its description in RNAcentral is "long non-coding RNA NONPTRT013297". The record is from RNAcentral. Lineage: Eukaryota; Metazoa; Chordata; Mammalia; Primates; Hominidae.
AAUGAUGGUAUCACCUUGCGACUAAGGAUUUUCCAUCACACAUGGUCCACAUUUGAAUGUUCAUAUUCAGAAACACGGCUGGGUGAAACUAAAGUUUACUCAUUUUUGGAUGGCAGAAACAAACCACAGAUUGAAAUAGAAGACAUGAGGAACCCAGACUAGGAAAUAAGUCUGGUGCAUGAAGAUGACGGUCUAUGUAAUCUAGAACCUUUCUACUCCAAGUGUGAUAUGCAGACCAGCAGUAUCAGUACUCCCUGGGAGCUCUUUGUGAUUGUGGAAUCUCAGUCUCCAGCCCAGACCUGCUGAAUCGAAAUGUGCUUGGAAAACUCCUC